RNAcentral lists this ribosomal RNA (326 nucleotides) under uncultured eukaryote. RNAcentral describes it as "partial 18S ribosomal RNA". It matches the Rfam family "Eukaryotic small subunit ribosomal RNA", at positions 1470 to 1796 of the family's 1831-position model. The record is from RNAcentral.
CCCUUAGAUGUUCUGGGCCGCACGCGCGCUACACUGAUGCAUUCAACGAGCCUAGCCUUGACCGAGAGGUCCGGGUAAUCUUUGAAACUGCAUCGUGAUGGGGCUAGAUUAUUGCAAUUAUUAAUCUUCAACGAGGAAUGCCUAGUAAGCGUGAUUCAUCAAAUCGCGUUGAUUACGUCCCUGCCCUUUGUACACACCGCCCGUCGCUCCUACCGAUUGAGUGUGUUGGUGAGGAGUUUGGAUUGGCCUCGGAAGGUGGUUCGCCACCGUCCGUAGCUGAGAAGUUCUCCAAACCGCCCCACUUAGGGGAAGGAGAAGUCGUAACA